Molecule: ribosomal RNA, 384 nt
Filed under: uncultured Bicosoecida
Lineage: Eukaryota; Bigyra; Bicosoecida
Description: partial small subunit ribosomal RNA
Rfam family: Eukaryotic small subunit ribosomal RNA
Source: RNAcentral
GCUUGUCUCAAAGAUUAAGCCAUGCAUGUCUAAGUAUAAACGAAUCUAUACUGUGAAACUGCGUACGGCUCAUUAAACCAGUUAUAGUUUAUUUGAUAUUCCCCUACUACUCGGAUAACCGUAGUAAUUCUAGAGCUAAUACAUGCGUAAAGGGUGCUGAAAGGCAUCUGUGUUUAUUAGAUACAACCAACCCCUCGCGGGUUUAGGUGAUUCAUAAUAACCGAACGAACCGCGUUCAGCGGUGAUUCUUUCUACAUUAUUCCCUAUCAGCUUUCGUUUUUUGUGUAGUGGACAAAAAAGGCUUUGACGGGUAACGGAGAAUUAGGGUUCGAUUCCGGAGAGGGAGCCUGAGAGAUGGCUACCACAUCCAAGGAAGGCAGCAGG